AAGUCGUAACAAGGUUUCCGUAGGUGAACCUGCGGAAGGAUCAUUAUCGAAAAGCAAUCCGGGGGGAGGCGACCGAGCGAAGUUUGGUAGAUCGUAGGGAUUGUCGCUGGCCUUUGGAAACGAAGGCAUGUGCACGUUCCGAGUUCUCCUUAGUCCUCCUUUGCCUUGCCUUUGGAAAGCCCUUUCUUCACACCCGUGCACCCAUUGUAGGUCUCCGCGAGGGGAUCUAUGUCUUCACAUAAACACUACGUAUGUCUAGGAAUGUAUCUAAAAGCGUCGGACGGCUUGGCUUCGUGCCCGGUCGGCGACGGUAAAGAACCAUAAUACAA
This 329-nucleotide unclassified non-coding RNA is filed under the name plant metagenome. Its description in RNAcentral is "partial contains small subunit ribosomal RNA and internal transcribed spacer 1". The stretch from base 1 to 46 matches the Rfam family "Eukaryotic small subunit ribosomal RNA", at positions 1786 to 1831 of the family's 1831-position model. The record is from RNAcentral.